RNAcentral lists this non-coding RNA (26 nucleotides) under Mus musculus (house mouse). The record is from RNAcentral. Lineage: Eukaryota; Metazoa; Chordata; Mammalia; Rodentia; Muridae.
UGCGUUCAGAGCAGGCCGGAUUUAGG